GAUGAGAUGGCUGAGUAUGGUAAAGCAACAGUUUGCUAAACUGUCAAGACAAAAGUCUUGCAUGGGUUCAAAUCCCAUUCUUGUUA
Molecule: transfer RNA, 86 nt
Filed under: Polymastia littoralis
Lineage: Eukaryota; Metazoa; Porifera; Demospongiae; Polymastiida; Polymastiidae
Also listed under: 1 other name
Description: tRNA-Ser
Rfam family: tRNA
About the family: Transfer RNA (tRNA) molecules are approximately 80 nucleotides in length. Their secondary structure includes four short double-helical elements and three loops (D, anti-codon, and T loops).
Source: RNAcentral